Molecule: ribosomal RNA, 415 nt
Filed under: uncultured soil bacterium
Lineage: Bacteria
Description: bacterial SSU rRNA
Rfam family: Bacterial small subunit ribosomal RNA
Source: RNAcentral
AGAUUGAACGCUGGCGGCAUGCCUUACACAUGCAAGUCGAACGGCAGCACGGGAGCAAUCCUGGUGGCGAGUGGCGAACGGGUGAGUAAUACAUCGGAACGUGCCCAGUUGUGGGGGAUAGCCCGGCGAAAGCCGGAUUAAUACCGCAUACGACCUACGGGUGAAAGCGGGGGAUCGCAAGACCUCGCGCUAUUGGAGCGGCCGAUGUCGGAUUAGCUUGUUGGUAGGUAAAAGCCUACCAAGGCUACGAUCCGUAGCUGGUCUGAGAGGACGACCAGCCACACUGGGACUGAGACACGGCCCAGACUCCUACGGGAGCAGCAGUGGGGAAUAUUGGACAAUGGGCGAAAGCCUGAUCCAGCCAUGCCGCGUGUGUGAAGAAGGUCUUCGGAUUGUAAAGCUAACGUUUAAGGUU